RNAcentral lists this ribosomal RNA (492 nucleotides) under uncultured bacterium. RNAcentral's name for it is "partial 16S ribosomal RNA". It matches the Rfam family "Bacterial small subunit ribosomal RNA", at positions 29 to 507 of the family's 1533-position model. The record is from RNAcentral.
AGUGAACGCUGGCGGUAGGCCUAACACAUGCCAGUCGAACGGCAGCACAGUAAGAGCUUGCUCUUACGGGUGGCGAGUGGCGGACGGGUGAGGAAUACAUCGGAAUCUACUUUUUCGUGGGGGAUAACGUAGGGAAAAUUACGCUAAUACCGCAUACGACCUACGGGUGAAAGCAGGGGAUCUUCGGACCUUGCGCGAUUGAAUGAGCCGAUGUCGGAUUAGCUAGUUGGCGGGGUAAAGGCCCACCAAGGCGACGAUCCGUAGCUGGUCUGAGAGGAUGAUCAGCCACACUGGAACUGAGACACGGUCCAGACUCCUACGGGAGGCAGCAGUGGGGAAUAUUGGACAAUGGGCGCAAGCCUGAUCCAGCCAUGCCGCGUGGGUGAAGAAGGCCUUCGGGUUGUAAAGCCCUUUUGUUGGGAAAGAAAAGCAGCAGGUUAAUACCCCGCUGUUCUGACGUUACCCAAAGAAUAAGCACCGGCUAACUUCGUG